CGACUUCCGAAUGUUGACUCACAGUCUGUGACGGGCCGAAGGGUAACUUCUGUAGAUAUAUAGAUAAAAUUCACUUGUUUUAUUCCCCAAGCCUAAAACUGAUCGAACUGAUCUACUACUAUAUCUUACAACGUGUUUAAAACAACAGAAUUUUUUUGUUUUAAUAUUUUAUUGAAUAUAGUAAUAUACAACUUAUAUAUAUACAAC
RNAcentral lists this long non-coding RNA (207 nucleotides) under Mytilus galloprovincialis (Mediterranean mussel). Lineage: Eukaryota; Metazoa; Mollusca; Bivalvia; Mytilida; Mytilidae. The record is from RNAcentral.